RNAcentral lists this ribosomal RNA (252 nucleotides) under uncultured bacterium. Its description in RNAcentral is "partial 16S ribosomal RNA". It matches the Rfam family "Bacterial small subunit ribosomal RNA", at positions 526 to 779 of the family's 1533-position model. The record is from RNAcentral.
CAGAGGGUGCGAGCGUUGUUCGGAAUUACUGGGCGUAAAGCGCGCGCAGGCGGCUUUUAAGUCCACUGGUCAAAUGCCGGGCUCAACCCCGUGCCCGCCAGGGAUACUGGAGAGCUGGAGACAUGUAGAGGCAAGCGGAAUUCCGGGUGUAGCGGUGGAAUGCGUAGAGAUCCGGAAGAACACCGGAGGCGAAGGCGGCUUGCUGGGCAUGAUCUGACGCUGAGGCGCGAAAGCGUGGGAGCAAACAGGAUU